Molecule: non-coding RNA, 601 nt
Organism: Peromyscus leucopus (white-footed mouse)
Lineage: Eukaryota; Metazoa; Chordata; Mammalia; Rodentia; Cricetidae
Source: the annotation of a RefSeq genome assembly
AGUCUCCACAGACUGCCUCCUCAAAAUGAAGUUGCCUGUUCUGCUGUUGGUGCUGCUGUUGCUCAGGAUUCCUGCUUCCAGAGGUGAUGUUGUGAUGACCCAAACUCCAACCUCCCUGCCUGUCAGCCUUGGAGAUCAAGCCUCCAUCUCUUGCAGGUCUAGUCAGAGCCUUGUACAUAGUGAUGGAAACACCUAUUUGAAUUGGCUUCUGCAGAAACCAGGCCAGUCCCCACAGCUCCUGAUAUACAAGGUUUCCACCAGAUUUUCUGGAGUCCCAGACAGAUUCAGUGGCAGUGGGUCAGGCACAGAUUUUACACUCAAGAUCAGCAGAGUGGAGCCUGAGGACUUAGGAGUUUAUUACUGUUUGCAAGGUUCACAUGCUCCUCUCACAGUGAUUCAGACCCUAACAAAAACAUGCCUGCUUGGGGAGGCCCAGCUGCCAAAUAUGUUACUUAUCUGUGUGAGAGCAGGAGGGGCACUGAGAUUUCCAGAUUAUUGCUUUCAGCUGAGGGAUUUGGAGCGUGAGUGCCUGCCUUGGCUACACCUCAAGGGUCACACAACUCAGUUUUCUUCAGCUGCAGUAACAAUGAAAUUGCCUUAA